UUUUAGGUUAUUAAAUGCAAGGCUGCUGUUGCCUGGGAGGCAGGUAAACCUCUUUCUAUUGAGGAGGUGGAGGUUGCUCCACCAAAAGCUCAUGAAGUUCGUAUCAAGAUAGUUGCCACUGCUGUCUGUCACACUGAUGCCUAUACACUGAGUGGUGCUGAUCCUGAAGGAUGUUUCCCUGUGAUCCUGGGACAUGAAGGAGCAGGAAUUGUAGAGAGUGUUGGGGAAGGAGUAACAAAAGUAAAGAAGGGGGACACUGUUAUCCCUCUAUACAUCCCUCAGUGUGGAGAGUGCAAGUUCUGUAAGAAUCCUAAAACAAACCUGUGCCAGAAGAUAAGGUGUGUAUAACUUUGACACAUGCUAUAGUAUUUGUUCAGUGUAUACCUGCUGUAGUUAGCAAAAGUAAUUGACAGGAGUUUUCAUUGAAGAAUCAAUCUGUUGAUGCAUCAUUUAAUGACUUGGAAAGUAGGUGUUUCAGGAGUCAGGCAAUUUUUUUCUUUAAAAAAGUCUUCCUUAAAAAUUCUAUUCUUCCCUCAAAUAAAACUGUUUCUCUCUUUUCAUGUAUAUUAAGGUGCAAACUACUACCUCGUGUCCACAGGUUGGAAAACAUAAAUGCUCUGACUCCAUAUUUAAUCCAUACUGAAGGGAAGCACUUCAGGGAAUUUAGCUGUUAGGAGUGAACACCAAAGCUUUCAAGUGGUAAAAAUUGUAUGGACAGCUCUUUUUUUUCCUUAACACCUGCUUCCCAGAUAAAUUUGCAGCUCCUGUUCUGAAAAAAAAAAUCUCCCAAACUCAAAAAAAGCCCUAAUGACAUAACUGAUGUGUGUUAUUCAAAGGGAGGAUACUGAAGGAGGCUAAGUGGUGUGGUGCUGUGGCACAAGCAGUUAGCCUUGGUAACUAACAAGGUCAACAUGUGAAUAAAGUCCAUUUCUUUCAGUUUUUCCCUGGAGGAAUUAACUGCAUGAAGUUUUAGGAGUUUAGCAUCUCACUUCUGUGAACUUCUAGGGUUAUUGAAGUGGUCAAA
Passer montanus (Eurasian tree sparrow) is the source of this 1024-nucleotide long non-coding RNA. RefSeq lists it as uncharacterized. The transcript is spliced from 3 exons. The record is from RefSeq and is a predicted model, not a curated record. Lineage: Eukaryota; Metazoa; Chordata; Aves; Passeriformes; Passeridae.